Molecule: transfer RNA, 124 nt
Filed under: Deltaproteobacteria bacterium
Lineage: Bacteria; Pseudomonadati; Myxococcota; Myxococcia
Description: tRNA-Ala
Rfam family: tRNA
About the family: Transfer RNA (tRNA) molecules are approximately 80 nucleotides in length. Their secondary structure includes four short double-helical elements and three loops (D, anti-codon, and T loops).
Source: RNAcentral
GGGUCUGUAGCUCAGUUGGUUAGAGCGCACCCCUGAUAAGGGUGAGGUCGGAAGUUCAAANNGCUGGGAGAGCGCCUGCUUUGCACGCAGGAGGUCGGCGGUUCGAUCCCGCCUGGCUCCACCA